RNAcentral lists this ribosomal RNA (460 nucleotides) under uncultured bacterium. RNAcentral describes it as "partial 16S ribosomal RNA". It matches the Rfam family "Bacterial small subunit ribosomal RNA", at positions 338 to 795 of the family's 1533-position model. The record is from RNAcentral.
CCUACGGGUGGCAGCAGUGAGGAAUAUUGGUCAAUGGGCGGAAGCCUGAACCAGCCAAGUCGCGUGCAGGAUGACGGCCCUACGGGUUGUAAACUGCUUUUAUCCGGGAAUAACGCGCCUUUCGUGUAGGGCAUUGCAUGUACCGUAUGAAUAAGGACCGGCUAAUUCCGUGCCAGCAGCCGCGGUAAUACGGAAGGUCCGGGCGUUAUCCGGAUUUAUUGGGUUUAAAGGGUGCGUAGGCCGGAUGUCAAGCGUGCUGUGAAAUGUCCGGGCUCAACCCGGGCCUUGCCGUGCAAACUGGCGUGCUUGAGUCCGCGAGAGGCAGGCGGAAUGCGGCGUGUAGCGGUGAAAUGCUUAGAUAUGACGAAGAACCCCGAUUGCGAAGGCAGCUUGCUGGAGCGGAACUGACGCUGAGGCACGAAAGCGCGGGUAUCGAACAGGAUUAGAUACCCCUGUAGUC